UACGGGAGGCAGCAGGGGGAAUAUUGCACAAUGGGCGCAAGCCUGAUGCAGCCAUGCCGCGUGUAUGAAGAAGGCCUUCGGGUUGUAAAGUACUUUCAGUCGUGAGGAAGGUGUUAAGGUUAAUAACCUUAGCAAUUGACGUUAGCGACAGAAGAAGCACCGGCUAACUCCGUGCCAGCAGCCGCGGUAAUACGGAGGGUGCGAGCGUUAAUCGGAAUUACUGGGCGUAAAGGGCACGCAGGCGGUUAAUUAAGUUGGAUGUGAAAUCCCCGGGCUUAACCUGGGAAUGGCAUUCAAGACUGGUUAGCUAGAGUCUUGUAGAGGGGGUAGAAUUCCAUGUGUAGCGGUGAAAUGCGUAGAGAUGUGGAGGAAUACCGGUGGCGAAGGCGGCCCCUGGACAAAGACUGACGCUCAUGUGCGAAAGCGUGGGGAGCAAACAGGGAUUAGA
Molecule: ribosomal RNA, 448 nt
Filed under: uncultured bacterium
Lineage: Bacteria
Description: bacterial SSU rRNA
Rfam family: Bacterial small subunit ribosomal RNA
Source: RNAcentral